AAAAACUUGAGUUUAAAAUUUUCUUUCUGCACAUUUUUUUUCAGUAACAUAGAAUCUAACAAUCUCACCUAACAAUCUCACAGUUCCAAUAUUCUAUUUCCAUCAAGUGCCGUUUGGCAUUAAAAAGCUUUAUUGACACUUAAUUCCAGGUGACCGCCAGUGACAGUUCAAGUAACAGCAUUUUAUAGGCUAUCAGUGCAUUUGCUACUAGUCUUAAAGUCAUGCAUGUCUCCAAAUCUAGUCCAAUAUGAGAACCAGUCCAGAUCUGUAUCUCUAAGUUUCUGUGGGCCACAACCCACUUCUGAUAUUAGUCAUUCAAUCAACCAGAAGUCAGUCACAGAAGCAGACUAUAGGUGCUAUGAGAUAAGAGAAUAGGAAUUGGCUUCAUAUAGUUUUGAGAGGAGGUGGGGAAAUCAAAGUCCAGAAAGCAGAGUUGAGGGACCAGAGUUGGGAGGAAUCCGUUUUGUUUUUGUUUUUUUUUUUAAAUAUUGGUGUGAAGAGUUAAGUCAGAGUUUGAAACAAACAAACAAACAAACAAAAAAGCAUGAGUGGAUGAUGUAUAAGGAACUUCAUGGGAAGCUCUGAAUUCCUAGGUUAACUACAGCCUCUAUGCAUCUGCACCUGGGCAUCUGGUACUGGAUGGCUCUGUGCUGCUAAACUAAGAGCUCUCAGAGAAUCUGAACCUAUGUGACCACUGCAAUGAGAUUACAAAUGCAACACAGCUCUUGCCUAAAUCAUUCUUAAUCCACUUGUCCUCAUAAACCCAGAUUUCAUGACAUAAGGAAGCCCAGACAAUAUGAAAAUUAACUGAAGUUCUAGGUCCUCUGGACCAACUGAGAGCCCAGUCAGAAGACAGCUCCAACUUGCCAGCCAGUCAUGUGAUAUAUUCCUUCUGGAAACAGACUCAACAACUUCAGUCAAGCCUGUAGCUGAUAAUCGGGUAGAAAAGCAAUGAGCUUUCCUCAUCAAGUCAAGUCCAAAUUAUAGAUUUAUGAGCAAAAUAUAGGUUGAUUAUUGUUUUAAGCCAAUCAUCAACAAACUUUUUUUUGUAAAGAACAAAAUAGCAAACAUUUUAAGCUAUGAAGGCCACAGUGGUCUUUAUUACAUGUUCCUUUUUAAAAAAUAUAUAUAGUUUAAAAAUAAUAAUUUUCAGAAAUUUUCUGUUUUAUUAGCUGCAUAAGAAUAGGCUAUGGACUACAUUUGUCUUAUAAGAAAUAGUUUACUAUUCCCUAUUUUGGGCCACUAAAUUUUAUGAUGAUUUGUGACACAGCAAUAAAUCAAAAUGAUCAGUUAAAUAAAUUGCACAAAGCUGAAUUUGCAAAAUUAAGAGGAAAAGAAAAAACAAAAAAGUACAUAUGCAUAUAUGCUUGUGUGUGUGUUGUAUGUAUGUGUAUAAACUCAGACACAAAGCGAGCUUCAGCAGAAUUUUAAUGAUGACUUUGUUGACGAAGCAUAGAAGAUCAAAGACCAAACAUGAGUACAACAUCAAUUUACAAAAAAUCCUCAUUAAAAAAUAUCUUAUUCUAGGGAAGAGAGCAAAUAUUGAAACCCUGGU
RNAcentral lists this long non-coding RNA (1555 nucleotides) under Marmota monax (woodchuck). The record is from RNAcentral. Lineage: Eukaryota; Metazoa; Chordata; Mammalia; Rodentia; Sciuridae.